Molecule: ribosomal RNA, 478 nt
Filed under: uncultured bacterium
Lineage: Bacteria
Description: partial 16S ribosomal RNA
Rfam family: Bacterial small subunit ribosomal RNA
Source: RNAcentral
GACGAACGCUGGCGGCAUGCCUAACACAUGCAAGUCGAGCGAGUAGAUCCCUUCGGGGUGAAGCUAGCGGCGGACGGGUGAGUAACACGUGGGCAACCUGCCUCAUAGAGGGGAAUAGCCUUCCGAACGGAAGAUUAAUACCGCAUAAGAUUGUAGUACCGCAUGGUAUAGCAAUUAAAGGAGCAAUCCGCUAUGAGAUGGGCCCGCGGCGCAUUAGCUAGUUGGUGAGGUAACGGCUCACCAAGGCGACGAUGCGUAGCCGACCUGAGAGGGUGAUCGGCCACAUUGGGACUGAGACACGGCCCAGACUCCUACGGGAGGCAGCAGUGGGGAAUAUUGCACAAUGGGGGAAACCCUGAUGCAGCAAUGCCGCGUGAGUGAUGACGGCCUUCGGGUUGUAAAGCUCUGUCUUCGGGGACGAUAAUGACGGUACCCGAGGAGGAAGCCACGGCUAACUACGUGCCAGCCGCCGCCGUAA